This is a long non-coding RNA of Dermochelys coriacea (leatherback sea turtle), 135 nucleotides long. RefSeq lists it as uncharacterized. The transcript is spliced from 3 exons. NCBI's taxonomy places the organism in Eukaryota, Metazoa, Chordata, Testudines, Dermochelyidae. The record is from RefSeq and is a predicted model, not a curated record.
UAGUUCUUCUGAAAAGGAUUGAGGGUUAUAGUGGAUCAAAACUGAAGAUGAAUCAACAGCGUGAUGCAGAUGCAAAAGAAGGCUCAUAUCAUUCUGGGGUGUAUUAACAAGAGUGUUGUGUAAUUGUUCCACUCU